RNAcentral lists this transfer RNA (75 nucleotides) under Parcubacteria group bacterium ADurb.Bin192. RNAcentral's name for it is "tRNA-Lys". It matches the Rfam family "tRNA". Rfam says of the family: Transfer RNA (tRNA) molecules are approximately 80 nucleotides in length. Their secondary structure includes four short double-helical elements and three loops (D, anti-codon, and T loops). RNAcentral also lists the same sequence under 2 other names. The record is from RNAcentral.
GCGCCUGUAGCUCAGUGGUAGAGCAGUGGCCUUUUAAGCCAAUGGUCGUGGGUCCGAUCCCCACCGGGCGCACCA